UGUGUGUUAGCCAAGCACUCAUGUUGGCAGGUGCAGUAGUGUGUGUUUGGUAUAUUUUAAGGGAGAAAGAGAAAUACCCUCCUUGGGCACAGUGGAUCUGCUUCAAAGUGGUGGCUUCUCUGUUCCUAGGAAUAUAACAGCA
This 142-nucleotide small nucleolar RNA is filed under the name Chinchilla lanigera (long-tailed chinchilla). Its description in RNAcentral is "Small nucleolar RNA SNORA64/SNORA10 family (ENSCLAG00000019976.1)". It matches the Rfam family "Small nucleolar RNA SNORA64/SNORA10 family". Rfam says of the family: This family belongs to the H/ACA class of small nucleolar RNAs (snoRNAs) which act as guides in the the modification of uridines to pseudouridines. This family includes the human snoRNAs U64 and ACA10 and mouse MBI-29. The record is from Rfam by way of RNAcentral. Lineage: Eukaryota; Metazoa; Chordata; Mammalia; Rodentia; Chinchillidae.